GAUGAAGAACGUAGUGAAAUGCGAUAAGUAAUGUGAAUUGCAGAAUUCAGUGAAUCAUCGAAUCUUUGAACGCAUCUUGCGCUCCUUGGUAUUCCUUGGAGCAUGCCUGUUUGAGUAUCAUGAGCAAAUCUCAAAGUCAAUUCCUUUUGUUAAUUCAAUUGGUUUUGCUUUGGACUUGGAGGUCUUGCAGAUUUCACAGUCUGCUCCUCUUAAAUGCAUUAGCUGGAUCUCAGUAAUUAUGCUUGGUUCCACUCGGCGUGAUAAGUAUCACUCGCUGAGGACACUGUUAAAAAGGUGGCCAGGAAAAUACUGAUUGAACCGCUUCUAACGGUCUAUUAAGUUAGACAAUUGACCCCUUAAGUUUGAUCUCAAAUCAGGUAGGACUACCCGCUGAACUUAAGCAUAUCAAUAAGCGGAGGA
Molecule: unclassified non-coding RNA, 420 nt
Filed under: soil metagenome
Description: partial contains 5.8S ribosomal RNA, internal transcribed spacer 2, and large subunit ribosomal RNA
Rfam family: 5.8S ribosomal RNA (bases 1-120)
Source: RNAcentral